Homo sapiens (human) is the source of this 76-nucleotide microRNA precursor. NCBI's taxonomy places the organism in Eukaryota, Metazoa, Chordata, Mammalia, Primates, Hominidae. The record is from Ensembl.
CAGGAGAGAAAGUACUGCCCAGAAGCUAAAGUGUAGAUCAAACGCAUAAUGGCUGAGGUAGUAGUUUCUUGAACUU